This 66-nucleotide transfer RNA is filed under the name Ixodes simplex. RNAcentral describes it as "tRNA-Gly". The record is from RNAcentral. Lineage: Eukaryota; Metazoa; Arthropoda; Arachnida; Ixodida; Ixodidae.
UAUUUAAUUAGUAUAUAAGAGUACACUUAAUUUCCAAUUAAAAAGAUUUAUUGUAAAAUUAAAUAA